UGUGUUCUUCUUCUCCAUAAAAUACACCAGAAUCCAACUCUAAUUUAAUCCAAGUUCAGGCUAGUGAAUCUCAAACCCAUAACCACACGGCCCUCAUUCUCUCAUCUUUCCAUUUCUAACGGUCUCUGGCGAAAGAUUCUUCCUACUCGCUCGAUUUGAGCCUUAUCUCUGAUUGGAGGCUUCUGGAAAGGAUUUGCUGGAUGAGUGUGAGGUGUUGGAUUGAUUUAACUUACUCCAAGCCCCACAUUAAUCAUGAAUUCAUUCUCAAAAGAAGCUCUAUCCAAUUUUGAAGGGGCUCAGCUAAAAUAUAUUAGAGAAAAGGGGUCGAAAGGUUUUCUGUGAACAAAAUUAAUCUUCUGAGUUGAUUUUCUUCGAGGUCAUUAAAGUUUAAGAAAGACAUAGAAACAUUUUUUUUCUUCUUAUUUUGAAUUCGGAUUUGAGUUCC
This 445-nucleotide long non-coding RNA is filed under the name Nicotiana benthamiana. RNAcentral's name for it is "long non-coding RNA (NBEN_LNC022359)". Lineage: Eukaryota; Viridiplantae; Streptophyta; Magnoliopsida; Solanales; Solanaceae. The record is from RNAcentral.